GGGUUGUGAGGUUAAGCGACUAAGCGUACACGGUGGAUGCCCUGGCAGUCAGAGGCGAUGAAGGGCGUGCUAAUCUGCGAUAAGCGCCGGUAAGGUGAUAUGAACCGUUAUAACCGGCGAUACCCGAAUGGGGAAACCCAGUGUGACUCGUCACACUAUCAUUAACUGAAUCCAUAGGUUAAUGAGGCGAACCGGGGGAACUGAAACAUCUAAGUACCCCGAGGAAAAGAAAUCAACCGAGAUUCCCCCAGUAGCGGCGAGCGAACGGGGAGUAGCCCAGAGCCUGAAUCAGCAUGUGUGUUAGUGGAAGCGUCUGGAAAGGCGCGCGAUACAGGGUGACAGCCCCGUACACAAAAGCGCAUGUGCUGUGAGCUCGAUGAGUAGGGCGGGACACGUGGUAUCCUGUCUGAAUAUGGGGGGACCAUCCUCCAAGGCUAAAUACUCCUGACUGACCGAUAGUGAACCAGUACCGUGAGGGAAAGGCGAAAAGAACCCCGGCGAGGGGAGUGAAAAAGAACCUGAAACCGUGUACGUACAAGCAGUGGGAGCACCCUUUGGGGUGUGACUGCGUACCUUUUGUAUAAUGGGUCAGCGACUUAUAUUCUGUAGCAAGGUUAACCGAAUAGGGGAGCCGUAGGGAAACCGAGUCUUAAUUGGGCGUUAAGUUGCAGGGUAUAGACCCGAAACCCGGUGAUCUAGCCAUGGGCAGGUUGAAGGUUGGGUAACACUAACUGGAGGACCGAACCGACUAAUGUUGAAAAAUUAGCGGAUGACCUGUGGCUGGGGGUGAAAGGCCAAUCAAACCGGGAGAUAGCUGGUUCUCCCCGAAAGCUAUUUAGGUAGCGCCUCGUGAACUCAUCUCCGGGGGUAGAGCACUGUUUCGGCUAGGGGGCCAUCCCGGCUUACCAACCCGAUGCAAACUGCGAAUACCGGAGAAUGUUAUCACGGGAGACACACGGCGGGUGCUAACGUCCGUCGUGAAGAGGGAAACAACCCAGACCGCCAGCUAAGGUCCCAAAGUCAUGGUUAAGUGGGAAACGAUGUGGGAAGGCCCAGACAGCCAGGAUGUUGGCUUAGAAGCAGCCAUCAUUUAAAGAAAGCGUAAUAGCUCACUGGUCGAGUCGGCCUGCGCGGAAGAUGUAACGGGGCUAAACCAUGCACCGAAGCUGCGGCAGCGACACUGUGUGUUGUUGGGUAGGGGAGCGUUCUGUAAGCCUGUGAAGGUGGCCUGUGAGGGUUGCUGGAGGUAUCAGAAGUGCGAAUGCUGACAUAAGUAACGAUAAAGCGGGUGAAAAGCCCGCUCGCCGGAAGACCAAGGGUUCCUGUCCAACGUUAAUCGGGGCAGGGUGAGUCGACCCCUAAGGCGAGGCCGAAAGGCGUAGUCGAUGGGAAACGGGUUAAUAUUCCCGUACUUGGUGUUACUGCGAAGGGGGGACGGAGAAGGCUAUGUUGGCCGGGCGACGGUUGUCCCGGUUUAAGCGUGUAGGUGUGUGUUCCAGGUAAAUCCGGUUCACUUUAACACUGAGGCGUGACGACGAGGCACUACGGUGCUGAAGCAACAAAUGCCCUGCUUCCAGGAAAAGCCUCUAAGCAUCAGGUAACAUCAAAUCGUACCCCAAACCGACACAGGUGGUCAGGUAGAGAAUACCAAGGCGCUUGAGAGAACUCGGGUGAAGGAACUAGGCAAAAUGGUGCCGUAACUUCGGGAGAAGGCACGCUGACACGUAGGUGAAGUGAUUUACUCACGGAGCUGAAGUCAGUCGAAGAUACCAGCUGGCUGCAACUGUUUAUUAAAAACACAGCACUGUGCAAACACGAAAGUGGACGUAUACGGUGUGACGCCUGCCCGGUGCCGGAAGGUUAAUUGAUGGGGUCAGCGCAAGCGAAGCUCCUGAUCGAAGCCCCGGUAAACGGCGGCCGUAACUAUAACGGUCCUAAGGUAGCGAAAUUCCUUGUCGGGUAAGUUCCGACCUGCACGAAUGGCGUAAUGAUGGCCAGGCUGUCUCCACCCGAGACUCAGUGAAAUUGAACUCGCUGUGAAGAUGCAGUGUACCCGCGGCAAGACGGAAAGACCCCGUGAACCUUUACUAUAGCUUGACACUGAACAUUGAGCCUUGAUGUGUAGGAUAGGUGGGAGGCUUUGAAGUGUGGACGCCAGUCUGCAUGGAGCCGACCUUGAAAUACCACCCUUUAAUGUUUGAUGUUCUAACGUGGACCCGUAAUCCGGGUUGCGGACAGUGUCUGGUGGGUAGUUUGACUGGGGCGGUCUCCUCCUAAAGAGUAACGGAGGAGCACGAAGGUUGGCUAAUCCUGGUCGGACAUCAGGAGGUUAGUGCAAUGGCAUAAGCCAGCUUGACUGCGAGCGUGACGGCGCGAGCAGGUGCGAAAGCAGGUCAUAGUGAUCCGGUGGUUCUGAAUGGAAGGGCCAUCGCUCAACGGAUAAAAGGUACUCCGGGGAUAACAGGCUGAUACCGCCCAAGAGUUCAUAUCGACGGCGGUGUUUGGCACCUCGAUGUCGGCUCAUCACAUCCUGGGGCUGAAGUAGGUCCCAAGGGUAUGGCUGUUCGCCAUUUAAAGUGGUACGCGAGCUGGGUUUAGAACGUCGUGAGACAGUUCGGUCCCUAUCUGCCGUGGGCGCUGGAGAACUGAGGGGGGCUGCUCCUAGUACGAGAGGACCGGAGUGGACGCAUCACUGGUGUUCGGGUUGUCAUGCCAAUGGCACUGCCCGGUAGCUAAAUGCGGAAGAGAUAAGUGCUGAAAGCAUCUAAGCACGAAACUUGCCCCGAGAUGAGUUCUCCCUGAGACUUAGAGUCUCCUGAAGGAACGUUGAAGACGACGACGUUGAUAGGCCGGGUGUGUAAGCGCAGCGAUGCGUUGAGCUAACCGGUACUAAUGAACCGUGAGGCUUAACCUUACAACGCCGAAG
RNAcentral lists this ribosomal RNA (2926 nucleotides) under Salmonella sp. SSDFZ69. RNAcentral's name for it is "23S ribosomal RNA". It matches the Rfam family "Bacterial large subunit ribosomal RNA". Lineage: Bacteria; Pseudomonadati; Pseudomonadota; Gammaproteobacteria; Enterobacterales; Enterobacteriaceae. The record is from RNAcentral.